AGGGAGGAGACUUUGGGGUCUAAAGAGACAGGAGACUCCUCUGGCGUCCGGCCAACUGGGAUUCCCCCUUGCCUUCCGGGGCCGCCGGGUGCCUGGGUUCUGGCCAGCUGGAUUUGGGACACAACAGUUGAGAUACUGGAGGGCCAGAGAAAGCAAGCUUGAAACAGAGAGGAACGGGUCACUUUGGUGGAGGAAAUUGGGCCACCAAGCAGCCCUAUGGAGAGGCCAAUGUGGAGAGAAACUGAGGCCUUCCACCAAAAGCCAGCACCAACUUGCUAUCCAUGUGAGUGAACCAGCUUGCAGUACAGAGUGGUCAACCCCAGUCAAGCUUUCAGAUAACUACAAGCCUAGUUGACAUCUUGACUACAACUUCAAGAGAGACAUCAAGGCAGAACUGCUUCGCUAAACUGCUCUUGAAUUCUUGACCCACAGAAACUGAGAGAGAGAAUAAAUAUUUAUUGUUGUUUCAAGUAACUACAUCCUGGGGGUAACUUCUUAUGUAUAGAUAAUAUAUA
Molecule: long non-coding RNA, 515 nt
Filed under: Homo sapiens (human)
Lineage: Eukaryota; Metazoa; Chordata; Mammalia; Primates; Hominidae
Description: HSALNT0368464
Source: RNAcentral